UACAGAGGGUGCAAGCGUUGUUCGGAAUUAUUGGGCGUAAAGCGCGUGUAGGCGGCCAAUUAAGUCGGGUGUGAAAGCCCUCAGCUCAACUGAGGAAGUGCGCCCGAGACUGGAUGGCUUGAGUGCUGGAGAGGGUGGCGGAAUUCCCCAAGUAGAGGUGAAAUUCGUAGAGAUGGGGAGGAACACCGGAGGCGAAGGCGGCCACCUGGACAGUAACUGACGCUGAGACGCGAAAGCGUGGGGAGCAAACAGG
Molecule: ribosomal RNA, 253 nt
Filed under: uncultured bacterium
Lineage: Bacteria
Description: partial 16S ribosomal RNA
Rfam family: Bacterial small subunit ribosomal RNA
Source: RNAcentral